UAAAUACAAAAUAAAUUCAAUUAUUGAAUGCCGAAUCAUUAGUUAAAUGACAUGUCAUGGUACAUUUUAUCAUCACCGGUAUUUAUUUGUAUUAUAACAAACACAUGUGUAAUUCCUGCACAUGGAAUAUUUUAUCAUCAACGAUAUUUAUUUGAAUCAUAACAACCACAUGCAUAAUUCCUACAUUCCGGUUUUCGAGGAAGCACACACUUAAUUCUUGUUACACAAUGAGAGUCCUCACGACAUUCAAACCUUGCUAUAAAUUAUAAAAGAGAAGAUAAAAAUGUUACUAACUAAAGGGGAUAAGUGGUUAGGUAAGAAGUAAAGAAUAAAAUUGUAUAAUAAUGAAAAAUGAUUUACCGGCAUCGUUCAUUGUAAUGAAAAAUAGUGCAAGAAAGAGGAUCAUAAUACAAACAAAGUUACUGACUUUAGCCAUAUUUUCCGCUUGUGCAUGAAACAUACCAAAAAAGAUUU
Molecule: long non-coding RNA, 474 nt
Filed under: Medicago truncatula (barrel medic)
Lineage: Eukaryota; Viridiplantae; Streptophyta; Magnoliopsida; Fabales; Fabaceae
Description: lncRNA gene37879
Source: RNAcentral